RNAcentral lists this ribosomal RNA (170 nucleotides) under Paphiopedilum venustum. RNAcentral describes it as "5.8S ribosomal RNA". Lineage: Eukaryota; Viridiplantae; Streptophyta; Magnoliopsida; Asparagales; Orchidaceae. The record is from RNAcentral.
CGAGUCAUAUCUCUCCCUUAACGAGGCUGUCCAUACAUACUGUUCAGCCGGUGCGGAUGUGAGUUUGGCCCCUUGUUCUUUGGUACGGGGGGUCUAAGAGCUGCAUGGGCUUUUGAUGGUCCUAAAUACGGCAAGAGGUGGACGAACUAUGCUACACCAAAAUUGUUGUG